AGUGAACGCUGGCGGUAGGCCUAACACAUGCAAGUCGAACGGCAGCACAGUAAGAGCUUGCUCUUACGGGUGGCGAGUGGCGGACGGGUGAGGAAUACAUCGGAAUCUACUUUUUCGUGGGGGAUAACGUAGGGAAACUUACGCUAAUACCGCAUACGACCUACGGGUGAAAGCAGGGGAUCUUCGGACCUUGCGCGAUUGAAUGAGCCGAUGUCGGAUUAGCUAGUUGGCGGGGUAAAGGCCCACCAAGGCGACGAUCCGUAGCUGGUCUGAGAGGAUGAUCAGCCACCCUGGAACUGAGACACGGUCCCGACUCCUAAGGGAGGCAGCAGUGGGGAAUAUUGGACAAUGGGCGCAAGCCUGAUCCAGCCAUACCGCGUGGGUGAAGAAGGCCUUCGGGUUGUAAAGCCCUUUUGUUGGGAAAGAAAAGCAGCAGGUUAAUACCCCGCUGUUCUGACGGUACCCAAAGAAUAAGCACCGGCUAACUUCGUG
RNAcentral lists this ribosomal RNA (492 nucleotides) under uncultured bacterium. RNAcentral's name for it is "partial 16S ribosomal RNA". It matches the Rfam family "Bacterial small subunit ribosomal RNA", at positions 29 to 507 of the family's 1533-position model. The record is from RNAcentral.